GGCGCGCGUCAGAUGGGUCUCUUGCUUUUGCCGAGUUCUCCCUGCAGGGGGCGGUAGAUUCCAAGAGAAUGAAGGGCUCCGCAUUGCCAACGAGAUGGCGGCUAUUCUGAAGAACCGCAGUUUAGCAUAAAUACAGGGUUGCCUCUGCUAGGCCUGCUGCUAGUGUUGGCGCCAACUCCAAACUCUCCACAGCCUGUGUAACUUUAACACAAAGAUACUGCAAAGCUUGGAGAGCCAGUCUAAUAGAUCUUCUGAGGAGAUAAAAAGACCAUUGGAAGAAUGUCACCUCCAGCAUUUUUGCAGCAACAAAAACAUGCUAUACAGAGCAAUCUCAUACUUAACAACUCAGAAGUCCCAGCAACUGAAAUGCAGUUUACUCCCAAAUGGAUGGAUCUGUCAAUUUCAGUUCGCUCGAUUUCUUCUUUUUCCAAUCUUCAAUUCAGUCCUCCACAUUUCUGCAACAAUUUGCAUUUAAAAAAUUCUUCAAGAAAAUACAGCAGCAUUUGUGCACAUUUCUCCCAAUAAACACCUUUUUGUAUUCAGGUUUUACAUUUAUGCAAGCAAUUCUCCCUACUGCAAUGCACUUUUGUAUGAUAUUUCCAGUAAUGCGUUCACUUUAAUAGCCUUUCCCAAUAGAUUCAUUUUUGUAAACAGUGUUUGGUUGGAGAAUGUCAUUGCAAAAUUGAAUAAUUAUGAACUUCAAAGGAUGGCUGUGGUUUG
Long non-coding RNA from Podarcis raffonei (Aeolian wall lizard), 720 nucleotides. RefSeq lists it as uncharacterized. Lineage: Eukaryota; Metazoa; Chordata; Lepidosauria; Squamata; Lacertidae. The transcript is spliced from 3 exons. The record is from RefSeq and is a predicted model, not a curated record.